This 970-nucleotide ribosomal RNA is filed under the name Escherichia coli. Its description in RNAcentral is "bacterial LSU rRNA". It matches the Rfam family "Bacterial large subunit ribosomal RNA", at positions 1 to 1002 of the family's 2925-position model. Lineage: Bacteria; Pseudomonadati; Pseudomonadota; Gammaproteobacteria; Enterobacterales; Enterobacteriaceae. The record is from RNAcentral.
GGGUUGUGAGGUUAAGCGACUAAGCGUACACGGUGGAUGCCCUGGCAGUCAGAGGCGAUGAAGGACGUGCUAAUCUGCGAUAAGCGUCGGUAAGGUGAUAUGAACCGUUAUAACCGGCGAUUUCCGAAUGGGGAAACCCAGUGUGUUUCGACACACUAUCAUUAACUGAAUCCAUAGGUUAAUGAGGCGAACCGGGGGAACUGAAACAUCUAAGUACCCCGAGGAAAAGAAAUCAACCGAGAUUCCCCCAGUAGCGGCGAGCGAACGGGGAGGAGCCCAGAGCCUGAAUCAGUGUGUGUGUUAGUGGAAGCGUCUGGAAAGGCGCGCGAUACAGGGUGACAGUCCCGUACACAAAAAUGCACAUGCUGUGAGCUCGAUGAGUAGGGCGGGACACGUGGUAUCCUGUCUGAAUAUGGGGGGACCAUCCUCCAAGGCUAAAUACUCCUGACUGACCGAUAGUGAACCAGUACCGUGAGGGAAAGGCGAAAAGAACCCCGGCGAGGGGAGUGAAAAAGAACCUGAAACCGUGUACGUACAAGCAGUGGGAGCCUCUUUUAUGGGGUGACUGCGUACCUUUUGUAUAAUGGGUCAGCGACUUAUAUUCUGUAGCAAGGUUAACCGAAUAGGGGAGCCGAAGGGAAACCGAGUCUUAACUGGGCGUUAAGUUGCAGGGUAUAGACCCGAAACCCGGUGAUCUAGCCAUGGGCAGGUUGAAGGUUGGGUAACACUAACUGGAGGACCGAACCGACUAAUGUUGAAAAAUUAGCGGAUGACUUGUGGCUGGGGGUGAAAGGCCAAUCAAACCGGGAGAUAGCUGGUUCUCCCCGAAAGCUAUUUAGGUAGCGCCUCGUGAAUUCAUCUCCGGGGGUAGAGCACUGUUUCGGCAAGGGGGUCAUCCCGACUUACCAACCCGAUGCAAACUGCGAAUACCGGAGAAUGUUAUCACGGGAGACACACGGCGGGUGCUAAC